AACCAUAGAAACCUGCGGAGUACCUGCGGAGGGAUCAUUACCGAGUUAUACAACUCAUCAACCCUGUGAACAUACCUAAAACGUUGCCUCGGCGGGAACAGACGGCCCCGUAACACGGGCCGCCCCCGCCAGAGGACCCCCUAACUCUGUUUCUAUAAUGUUUCUUCUGAGUAAACAAGCAAAUAAAUCAAAACUUUCAACAACGGAUCU
Molecule: unclassified non-coding RNA, 210 nt
Filed under: soil metagenome
Description: partial contains 5.8S ribosomal RNA, internal transcribed spacer 2, and large subunit ribosomal RNA
Source: RNAcentral